RNAcentral lists this ribosomal RNA (1539 nucleotides) under Vibrio parahaemolyticus VPTS-2009. Its description in RNAcentral is "partial 23S ribosomal RNA". Lineage: Bacteria; Pseudomonadati; Pseudomonadota; Gammaproteobacteria; Vibrionales; Vibrionaceae. The record is from RNAcentral.
UAUGCGGCAGCUCCGGUAUUGCGUUGCUCACACCUUAACAGGGCGUUAGCAUUUAUCAACUUAAUAGGAUGUUCGUAAUAAUAUGUUUAAAUCACUUUUUUCAAAGAAAAAUACCAGUAAAUUGACUCUUCAAGAUGUCUUAGAUGACCCUCUUAAGUACCUCAAAAGUCGAAAUGGUACUAUUUGGUAUAAAACGAAAAAAAUUGGGGGGGGGAUGCCCCACAAUCAAGGCGAAACGUGCGAUGUUUUUGAUGACUUAUAUAUUGGCACAGGAAAAAAUAUCUUCGCUUAUAUUCAUAAUUUUUCAAUUUGCCCUGAAACAAAAAUUGCUGUUAUAAAACAUUUUGCGUUGGAACCAAUUUAUACUAGAAAUGGAUUAGGCCUAAAAAUUAUUAGUGAGUUAGGAAAGGAACUUAAAAAUAAACAUAGUGUGGAUAAGAUACAGUUUCAUACGUCAAUUGAAAAAACUAACUUUAAUAAGUUUUAUAGCAAAAAGUUAAAGGCUAAAGCGAUUGAUGUAGAUGGAAGAGUAUGGGAGUGGAAAAUAAAAUAAAAGCUAACAAUCUGUUUAAGAGUGAUUCGCAACGCUUGGCAUUUUGGGCUAUGCGUUGCGUUUAGUGUUUAAGGUGGUAUGCGGAAGCUUAGGUAUUGCGUUGCUCACACCUUAACAGGGCGUUAUAAAUCAAAGGAGAGUUUGGUGUCAAAAUUAAGAUCUAAAACAAAACAAAGCAUACAUAAUGCAUUAGAGAAUACAUACUUCACAGCAGAUAACUUUGACGUAAUGUAUCAUGAAGAACAAAGAGAAUUUUUGGAAAUUAGCUUUAUACCGCAACCCGAAUUCAAAUUUAAAGCAAGCAAAUCUUCUGGUUAUGGACGUGGUGCGCAGUGGUCAACUUCAGAAGCUCCAGGUACUCAUUUGAGGGAGGCUGAGUCUUACGAUAUCAACAAUUUCGAUAGUAUCAUCGAACAUAUUGGUAGUUGGGCUUCUAGAAUCCUAGAAGACUAUCGGGUUGGUAAAAAAGAAACAUUCAACGAGUUUGAAGAGUUCGAAAGGCAAGUGGCAGAGAAAGUUGAAGAAACCAAUUCAAAUAAGUCUGAAGUAUUCAGCACUGAAGAAGCUAAUGAUCUUAAAGGAAUGCUUGACUCUUUAUAUGAAAAAUUCGAAGUGUUAUCUGAAGAGAAUAACACUUUAAAGAAACAGCUAUCUGCGAUUAAAACUGAGAUCGAUAAUAUAAAGGGAGAUGUAGACUAUUUCCCUAAAAAUGCUUGGUAUAGGGUCUCGGGUAGCAAAAUAGUGAAGAUGAUGAAACAAGUUGCUUCGACACCAGAAGGACGUAAGUUGAUAGCGGAAACAGCGAAAAAGUACUUGCUAGGUAUCUGAUUUAUAACAAAGCAUUUAAGAGUGAUUCCCAACGCAUGGCAUUUUUCAUUCCAUCGUUGGGUUUAGUGUUUACGGUGGUAUGGUUAGGUUUCGUGGCUGCGUUGCUCACACCUUAAUGCGGCGUUAUACAUUUUAGAGGUUUAAAUGCACAAUUUUGA